This 78-nucleotide transfer RNA is filed under the name Marmota monax (woodchuck). RNAcentral describes it as "tRNA.Ala". The record is from RNAcentral. Lineage: Eukaryota; Metazoa; Chordata; Mammalia; Rodentia; Sciuridae.
UGAGGAUGUGGCUCGGUGGUAGAGUGCUUGACUAGUCUAGCAUGCUUGAAGCCCUGGGUUCAAUUCCCAGCACCACAA